Sinocyclocheilus rhinocerous is the source of this 316-nucleotide long non-coding RNA. RefSeq lists it as uncharacterized. The transcript has 3 exons. Lineage: Eukaryota; Metazoa; Chordata; Actinopteri; Cypriniformes; Cyprinidae. The record is from RefSeq and is a predicted model, not a curated record.
GGACCACACCGGAAGUACUUGUCGUGUCAAUGGUGUGUGGUUCUCAGUGCUCAUGAUCGUUGUCGAUUAUUAUUAGAAGUAUCGAUGGAUAUUGAAUAAGUAAUUCUUAGUUAAGUGUAAAACAAGCAUGGCUACAAAACGUAAAGCGGAUGUAUCAGUGCCUGCAGAAGAGAGUGAUCAACUCCUCAUAAGACCACUAGGAGCUGGUCAAGAGGUGGGCAGGUCCUGUAUCAUCCUGGAGUUCAAGGGCCGUAAAAUCAUGCUGGACUGUGGCAUCCACCCUGGAUUGGAGGGCAUGGAUGCAUUGCCUUACAUU